This is a non-coding RNA of Lepisosteus oculatus (spotted gar), 1581 nucleotides long. Lineage: Eukaryota; Metazoa; Chordata; Actinopteri; Semionotiformes; Lepisosteidae. The record is from RefSeq and is a predicted model, not a curated record.
AUGGCAGCUUUGCAAUGAUCAGUGUUGGGGAAGGGUACUCUGAAAAAGUUACUUAUUACUCUUCCAAGUUACUGGUGUAAUUAUUAGAUUAAAAAGAUUAAAUAAUUAAAUUAAUAAGGCAUCAGGCAAAAUUGUAUGCCUUUACAUAGUAAUUGUACACACAGUAUAUAGAUCACUAACUUAUGAUGUUUUGAAAUUAUUUCCCCCCAAAUACAAAGUAAUCCCUUUCAAAACUAACUUGUUUCUGGAAUAGAUUACUUUUAAGAGACCCCCACAAUACUAAUGAUAUACCUUUUUAGAUGAAAAUCAUCCAAUAUUUUUGGUCACGUCAACCUGACUUUGGAGUGGCCAAACAUGUCUUUUUUCCCCAUCUCGGCUCGCAGCUAUGAACUCCGUGCCCGCACACGGGGGAGAAUGAGGAAGUGGAGGCAGACUCCUCUGCCCUGAGCACCUUCAAGCUGCUGGACUCCGGCAGGAGGUUCAGUGCCAAUUGGAGAUGCAUAACGGAAGGUGAGCACCGGGAAUGUAGUCUUGGAAGCAAGUAAUGCUCAAAAAGGCACAGCUUUGGUGAAGCAGAUGAAUGCCUGUAUUCCUUCUGCUGUAAUCUUCUGCCUUUAGGCUCCUGUCCUCUCAUGAGAAAAAAAAAUACAUAUGUUUUACAGUUAAUAAGACAUGUAUUUUUGACUUUCUUUUAACUUGAAUCAUGAUAAAAUAACCAGAUCAGACCUUUAACCACGAAUAAAACCACACUCAAUGUCAAUACCACCUUGCACCUUUUCUCCAGACUUUUUAUGUACAAAAUCAAUUGUAACUUGCAGACAAGACUAAAAUGUCAAUAAAAAACAUGCAAAAACCUGUACAUUUACAAUAAUUGUACAUAUGGUAUAUAUUUAUUAAGAAUGAUUAGGUCAAUAAACAAUUAAGCAUGACUAGUUUUGGUUUUUGCUUUCUGGACAUUUGGGUCAAUUGCUUUUAAUGUUAUUGGCAGCUGUGAAAGGGAGAGACUGCUGACUAAGGGGUUACCAUGCCCUCCCAGACUGAAGCCUUAACGUUUGUGUAAUAUUUCAUAUUACACAGAGACAAGGCAGUCCUCCUUCUUGGACUGGGCUUAACUGGAAUUAAGUAAUAGAUGCCUUGGCUUUUGUCAUCUUCACUGUGAGCAAACAAGCACGUGAGACACUAAAAAUACCUGAUUCCUUUCAAACAGGAUGGUUAUCAAUGGUGACAGAAUGUGUGUUGUCUAUAACCUGAUUUUAAACAGUAUUUUAUUUAAUUGGUCUUGACCCUGUGUGUGUGUGGGUACAUACUUGUUAUCUGGUCUAAGAUCACAUUUCUUUUUUGUUUCUGUAUAAUGCUAAUUUUUUCAUUGGAAACAUCGGUUGUCCUUCUUUUUGCAACUUGUGGUCUCUGUACAGUAUAUUGAAUUGUUUGUAGUCUCAGUAUGACACGUUGUGGAUUACUCUCUCAUCUCAGGACGCCUCUCUCACAAUACCCAGAGCUCUGCGUUCUGUCACCAACAUCCUUGAUGUCAAAUUCUGUGUUGUCUGUAUGCACAAUAAACAAAGUUUUUUUUCUAUCUGA